AUAUUUUCUCUACAAUUUUAAGUGUCA
RNAcentral lists this non-coding RNA (27 nucleotides) under Rattus norvegicus (Norway rat). The record is from RNAcentral. Lineage: Eukaryota; Metazoa; Chordata; Mammalia; Rodentia; Muridae.